This 414-nucleotide long non-coding RNA is filed under the name Monodelphis domestica (gray short-tailed opossum). RNAcentral describes it as "lncRNA (ENSMODG00000051337.1)". Lineage: Eukaryota; Metazoa; Chordata; Mammalia; Didelphimorphia; Didelphidae. The record is from RNAcentral.
CUCAAGCCCAAGCUCAAGGCAGUCUGCAGUGUACCUAGCUGGUCCAAGCCCAAGGGGAGGCCCAGAGCCCCCUGACCAAACCUGCAGUGAGGACCCAAACCCUAGUCCAUGGGAGUCUGCAGUGUGCCUGACCAGUGUAAGCCCAGAGUAGGCCUGUAACCCUUGCCUAGAGCCCAAGAGGAGGUACUAAGGGAAACAGAGCCAAGAGACUUGCUUAGGGAUUCUACUCUCAAGGCAUUCUACUGGGCAGUCAAUGGCUAUAUCCACAGAGGAAAUUGGGAAAACCUCUCUGAACCAAUGCAGAGUCAAGUGGGCCAACUAAGAGAAUAACUGCUUUAAAGAAAAUAACAACAUAGAACAAAGUAAAGAACAAUUUAUACAAUGAAAACAAUGUUAUAAACAACUUGAAAGUCU